Molecule: ribosomal RNA, 460 nt
Filed under: uncultured Ignavibacteriaceae bacterium
Lineage: Bacteria; Pseudomonadati; Ignavibacteriota; Ignavibacteria; Ignavibacteriales; Ignavibacteriaceae
Description: bacterial SSU rRNA
Rfam family: Bacterial small subunit ribosomal RNA
Source: RNAcentral
UGCCUACGGGGGGCUGCAGUGAGGAAUAUUGGGCAAUGCCCGGAAGGGUGACCCAGCAACGCCGCGUGGAGGAUGAAUGCCGUAAGGUUGUAAACUCCUGUGAGAAGGGACGAAAAAGUGGAUUUAAUCCAAAUUGACUGUACCUUCAGAGGAAACCCCGGCUAACUACGUGCCAGCAGCCGCGGUAAUACGUAGGGGGUUAGCGUUGUCCGGAUUUACUGGGUGUAAAGGGCGCGUAGGCGGGUUUGUUAGUCAGAGGUGAAAUCUCCCGGCUUAACCGGGAAACUGCCUUUGAUACUACAAAUCUUGAGUUCAGAAGAGAGAGAUGGAAUUCCAGGUGUAGUGGUGAAAUACGUAGAUAUCUGGAAGAACACCAGUGGCGAAGGCGAUCUCUUGGUCUGAUACUGACGCUGAGGCGCGAAAGCGUGGGUAGCAAACAGGAUUAGAUACCCCAGUAGUC